This 460-nucleotide ribosomal RNA is filed under the name uncultured bacterium. RNAcentral describes it as "partial 16S ribosomal RNA". It matches the Rfam family "Bacterial small subunit ribosomal RNA", at positions 338 to 795 of the family's 1533-position model. The record is from RNAcentral.
CCUACGGGAGGCAGCAGUGAGGAAUAUUGGUCAAUGGGCGCGAGCCUGAUCCAGCCAAGUAGCGUGAAGGAUGACUGCCCUACGGGUUGUAAACUUCUUUUAUAAAGGAGUAAAGUGAGGCACGUGUGCCUUUUCGUAUGUAUUUUAUGAAUAAGGAACGGCUAAGUUCGUGCCAGCAGCCGAGGUAAUACGGAGGAUACGAGCGUUGCCCGGAUUUAUUGGGUUUAAAGGGAGCGUAGAUGGGUUGUUAAGUCAGAUGUGAAAGUGUGCGGCUCAACCGUAAAAUUGCAAUUGAUACUGGCAGCCUUGAGUACAGUUGAGGUAGGCGGAAUUCGUGGUGUAGCGGUGAAAUGCGUAGAUAUCACGAAGAACUCCGAUUGCGAAGGCAGCCUACUAAACUGCCACUGACAUUGAGGCUCGAAAGUGUGGGUAUCAAACAGGAUUAGAUACCCUUGUAGUC